Molecule: ribosomal RNA, 466 nt
Filed under: uncultured soil bacterium
Lineage: Bacteria
Description: bacterial SSU rRNA
Rfam family: Bacterial small subunit ribosomal RNA
Source: RNAcentral
AGGACGAACGCUAGCGGCGUGCCUAAGGUAUGCAAGUCGAACGGACCCGCAAGGGUUAGUGGCGAACGGUUGAGUAACACGUAGACAACCUGCCUCGAAGUGGGGGACAACAGCGGGAAACUGCUGCUAAUACCGCAUAUGACCUUUCAACGCCUGUUGAGAUGGUUAAAGGCGCAAGUCGCUUCGAGAUGGGUCUGCGGCCUAUCAGUUUGUUGGUGGGGUAACGGCCUACCAAGACGACGACGGGUAGCUGGUCUGAGAGGAUGAUCAGCCAGACGGGGACUGAGACACGGCCCCGACUCCUUCGGGAGGCAGCAAUGAGGAAUAUUGCGCAAUGGGCGAAAGCCUGACGCAGCGACGCCGCGUGGGUGAGGAAGUUCUUCGGAAUGUAAAGCCCUUUUGUCGGGGACGAUCACAGACGGUACCCGACGAAUAAGCCCCGGCUAACUACGUGCCAGCAGCCGAC